AAUGAACGCUGGCGGCGCGCCUAAUACAUGCAAGUCGAGCGAGAAGACGUAGCAAUACGUUUGUAAAGCGGCGAACGGGUGAGGAAUACAUGGGUAACCUACCCUCGAGUGGGGAAUAACUAGCCGAAAGGUUAGCUAAUACCGCGUACGCUUCUUGGACUUCGGUUCAGGGAGGAAAGCGAUACCGUGGGUAUCGCGCUCUUGGAUGGGCUCAUGUCCUAUCAGCUUGUUGGUGAGGAACGGCUCACCAAGGCUUCGACGGGUAGCUGGUCUGAGAGGACGAUCAGCCACACUGGCACUGCGACACGGGCCAGACUCCUACGGGGAGGCAGCAGUAAGGAAUAUUGCGCAAUGGGCGAAAGCCUGACGCAGCGACGCCGCGGUGGGGGAUGAAGGUCUUCGGAUUGUAAA
RNAcentral lists this ribosomal RNA (411 nucleotides) under uncultured bacterium. RNAcentral describes it as "bacterial SSU rRNA". It matches the Rfam family "Bacterial small subunit ribosomal RNA", at positions 29 to 429 of the family's 1533-position model. The record is from RNAcentral.